Molecule: ribosomal RNA, 1972 nt
Filed under: Burkholderia cepacia
Lineage: Bacteria; Pseudomonadati; Pseudomonadota; Betaproteobacteria; Burkholderiales; Burkholderiaceae
Description: partial 23S ribosomal RNA
Rfam family: Bacterial large subunit ribosomal RNA
Source: RNAcentral
GGUUAAGCGACUAAGCGUACACGGUGGAUGCCCUGGCAGUCAGAGGCGAUGAAGGACGUGCUAAUCUGCGAAAAGCGUCGGUAAGGUGAUAUGAACCGUUAUAGCCGGCGAUGUCCGAAUGGGGAAACCCAGUGCAAUUCGUUGCACUAUCGUUAACUGAAUACAUAGGUUAACGAGGCGAACCGGGGGAACUGAAACAUCUAAGUACCCCGAGGAAAAGAAAUCAACCGAGAUUCCCCCAGUAGCGGCGAGCGAACGGGGAGCAGCCCGGAGUCUGAAUCAGCUUGUGUGUUAGUGGAAGCGUCUGGAAAGUCGCAGGGUACAGGGUGAUACUCCCGUACACUAAAGCACACAGGUUGUGAACUCGAAGAGUAGGGCGGGACACGUGGUAUCCUGUCUGAAUAUGGGGGGACCAUCCUCCAAGGCUAAAUACUCCUGACUGACCGAUAGUGAACCAGUACCGUGAGGGAAAGGCGAAAAGAACCCCGGCGAGGGGAGUGAAAAAGAACCUGAAACCGUGUACGUACAAGCAGUAGGAGCCCACUUGUUGGGUGACUGCGUACCUUUUGUAUAAUGGGUCAGCGACUUAUAUUCUGUAGCAAGGUUAACCGUAUAGGGGAGCCGCAGGGAAACCGAGUCUUAACUGGGCGUUAAGUUGCAGGGUAUAGACCCGAAACCCGGUGAUCUAGCCAUGGGCAGGUUGAAGGUUGGGUAACACUAACUGGAGGACCGAACCGACUAAUGUUGAAAAAUUAGCGGAUGACUUGUGGCUGGGGGUGAAAGGCCAAUCAAACCGGGAGAUAGCUGGUUCUCCCCGAAAGCUAUUUAGGUAGCGCCUCGUGAACUCAUCUUCGGGGGUAGAGCACUGUUUCGGCUAGGGGGUCAUCCCGACUUACCAACCCGAUGCAAACUACGAAUACCGAAGAAUGUUAUCACGGGAGACACACGGCGGGUGCUAACGUCCGUCGUGAAGAGGGAAACAACCCAGACCGCCAGCUAAGGUCCCAAAGUCAUGGUUAAGUGGGAAACGAUGUGGGAAGGCCCAGACAGCCAGGAUGUUGGCUUAGAAGCAGCCAUCAUUUAAAGAAAGCGUAAUAGCUCACUGGUCGAGUCGGCCUGCGCGGAAGAUGUAACGGGGCUAAACCAUGCACCGAAGCUGCGGCAGCGACGCUUAUGCGUUGUUGGGUAGGGGAGCGUUCUGUAAGCCGUUGAAGGUGGCCUGUGAGGGUUGCUGGAGGUAUCAGAAGUGCGAAUGCUGACAUAAGUAACGAUAAUGCGGGUGAAAAACCCGCACGCCGGAAGACCAAGGGUUCCUGUCCAACGUUAAUCGGGGCAGGGUGAGUCGACCCCUAAGGCGAGGCCGAAAGGCGUAGUCGAUGGGAAACAGGUUAAUAUUCCUGUACUCGGUGUUACUGCGAAGGGGGGACGGAGAAGGCUAUGUUGGCCGGGCGACGGUUGUCCCGGUUUAAGCAUGUAGGCGGAUGUUCCAGGUAAAUCCGGAACGUCACUAACGCUGAGGUGUGAUGACGAGGCACUACGGUGCUGAAGUGACAAAUGCCCUGCUUCCAGGAAAAGCCUCUAAGCAUCAGGUAACAUCAAAUCGUACCCCAAACCGACACAGGUGGUCAGGUAGAGAAUACCAAGGCGCUUGAGAGAACUCGGGUGAAGGAACUAGGCAAAAUGGUGCCGUAACUUCGGGAGAAGGCACGCUGAUGGUAGGUGAAGUGACUUGCUCAUGGAGCUGAAAUCAGUCGAAGAUACCAGCUGGCUGCAACUGUUUAUUAAAAACACAGCACUGUGCAAACACGAAAGUGGACGUAUACGGUGUGACGCCUGCCCGGUGCCGGAAGGUUAAUUGAUGGGGUUAUCCGUAAGGAGAAGCUCUUGAUCGAAGCCCCGGUAAACGGCGGCCGUAACUAUAACGGUCCUAAGGUAGCGAAAUUCCUUGUCGGGUAAGUUCCGACCUGCACGA